GGCAGAGUGGCCAAGUGGUCUAAGGCUUUAGUUUAAAUUUCUAGUAUCUUUGGAUGCGUGGGUUCAAAUCCCACCUCUUCCA
This 82-nucleotide transfer RNA is filed under the name Hofstenia miamia. RNAcentral's name for it is "tRNA-Phe for anticodon AAA". It matches the Rfam family "tRNA". Rfam says of the family: Transfer RNA (tRNA) molecules are approximately 80 nucleotides in length. Lineage: Eukaryota; Metazoa; Xenacoelomorpha; Acoela; Hofsteniidae. The record is from RNAcentral.